AUGGCUGGGCUGCAAAGGAUCAACGAUGCUCUGACUCUAGACUCCCUUCUGAACCUUUGGACGGCCCUACAGCAGGUCCUUCUCACUGAUCGGGAUGACAAAAUCUCUUGGAUCCACUCCUCGAAUGGAAGCUACAGCGCCAAAUCCGCUUACAAUAUUCAGUUCAUCACUCGAAUUGCAAUGCCGCAACUUGAACAGGUUUGGAAAAUCAAGGCUGAACCUAAGGACAAUCUUCAUGCAUCUACCGUGGCGGCAUACAUCGCUUAGAAUCUUUGGAAUGAGCGAAACAGAAGGGUUUUCCAACAGAAGACGACAUCCGCGCCUGGAGUACAUAGGAUGAUUAGAGAUGAGAUUGGCCUCUUUGCUGGGGCUUGGGAGUUUUAG
RNAcentral lists this ribosomal RNA (384 nucleotides) under Triticum aestivum (bread wheat). RNAcentral's name for it is "partial small subunit ribosomal RNA". Lineage: Eukaryota; Viridiplantae; Streptophyta; Magnoliopsida; Poales; Poaceae. The record is from RNAcentral.